ACAGGGAUAAGCCCAGCACCGAAUCCCGCGGCCGAGAUCGGACGCCGGGAAAUGUGGUGUUCGGGAGGGUCCGUCAUCCCGAGGUCGUGCGGUGCGUCCAAGUCCUUCUUGAACGGGGCCACAGCCCAUAGAGGGUGCCAGGCCCGUAGUGACCGCUGCCGAUCGCGGGAGGAUCUCUCCUCAGAGUCGGGUUGCUUGAGAGUGCAGCCCUAAGUGGGUGGUAAACUCCAUCUAAGGCUAAAUAUGACCACGAGACCGAUAGCGAACAAGUACCGUGAGGGAAAGUUGAAAAGCACUUUGAAGAGAGAGUUCAAGAGUACGUGAAACCGUUUAGGGGUAAACCUGAGAAACCCGAAAGGUCGAAGGGAGAAAUUCAUUCGCGUUUCGUCAUCGACGUUUGGCGGGAUCGAGUGACGGAAUUUUCCGCACCUUCCGUUUUACGAUUCGAUGGCGAACGCGUGCACUUUUCUUCCGGUAGGACGUCGCAAUCCGUUGGGUGUCGGUCUACGGCGGGAGGUGGAGCCCGUUUGUGUUUCUCGAAACACGAGCGGACCCUUCCGUUUCCCGACCGACUCGCUCGACGGUAUACGAAAGGUUUAAGGCCGCUCACUUUAGAGCGUCCGACUCGCGGCAAGCGCGUCAGACGUGUCGGAAAUCGGACCUCGUGCCGGUUCUGACCUCUGAUGACUGUUGGCCGCGAAGAUCUCGGACAGACCUUAGGACCGAUUCGCGACGCUAUAGCUUUGGGUACUUUCAGGACCCGUCUUGAAACACGGACCAAGGAGUCUAGCAUGUACGCGAGUCAUUGGGAAUAAUUAAACCUAAAGGCGUAAUGAAAGUGAAGGUUUUCCUAGCGAAGACCGAGGGAAGACGGGUGGAUGUCACCGUUAAAAGUGACGCCAUCCUGCACUCCCGGGGCGUCUCGUUCUCAUUGCGAGAAGAGGCGCACCAAGAGCGUACACGCUGGGACCCGAAAGAUGGUGAACUAUGCCUGGUCAGGACGAAGUCAGGGGAAACCCUGAUGGAGGUCCGUAGCGAUUCUGACGUGCAAAUCGAUCGUCGGAACUGG
Molecule: small RNA, 1069 nt
Filed under: Rhopalomesites persimilis
Lineage: Eukaryota; Metazoa; Arthropoda; Insecta; Coleoptera; Curculionidae
Description: eukaryotic LSU rRNA
Rfam family: Eukaryotic large subunit ribosomal RNA
Source: RNAcentral